AAAUUGAAGAGUUUGAUCAUGGCUCAGAUUGAACGCUGGCGGCAGGCCUAACACAUGCAAGUCGAACGGUAACAGGAAGCAGCUUGCUGCUUUGCUGACGAGUGGCGGACGGGUGAGUAAUGUCUGGGAAACUGCCUGAUGGAGGGGGAUAACUACUGGAAACGGUAGCUAAUACCGCAUAACGUCGCAAGACCAAAGAGGGGGACCUUCGGGCCUCUUGCCAUCGGAUGUGCCCAGAUGGGAUUAGCUUGUUGGUGGGGUAACGGCUCACCAAGGCGACGAUCCCUAGCUGGUCUGAGAGGAUGACCAGCCACACUGGAACUGAGACACGGUCCAGACUCCUACGGGAGGCAGCAGUGGGGAAUAUUGCACAAUGGGCGCAAGCCUGAUGCAGCCAUGCCGCGUGUAUGAAGAAGGCCUUCGGGUUGUAAAGUACUUUCAGCGGGGAGGAAGGGAGUAAAGUUAAUACCUUUGCUCAUUGACGUUACCCGCAGAAGAAGCACCGGCUAACUCCGUGCCAGCAGCCGCGGUAAUACGGAGGGUGCAAGCGUUAAUCGGAAUUACUGGGCGUAAAGCGCACGCAGGCGGUUUGUUAAGUCAGAUGUGAAAUCCCCGGGCUCAACCUGGGAACUGCAUCUGAUACUGGCAAGCUUGAGUCUCGUAGAGGGGGGUAGAAUUCCAGGUGUAGCGGUGAAAUGCGUAGAGAUCUGGAGGAAUACCGGUGGCGAAGGCGGCCCCCUGGACGAAGACUGACGCUCAGGUGCGAAAGCGUGGGGAGCAAACAGGAUUAGAUACCCUGGUAGUCCACGCCGUAAACGAUGUCGACUUGGAGGUUGUGCCCUUGAGGCGUGGCUUCCGGAGCUAACGCGUUAAGUCGACCGCCUGGGGAGUACGGCCGCAAGGUUAAAACUCAAAUGAAUUGACGGGGGCCCGCACAAGCGGUGGAGCAUGUGGUUUAAUUCGAUGCAACGCGAAGAACCUUACCUGGUCUUGACAUCCACAGAACCUUGUAGAGAUACGAGGGUGCCUUCGGGAACUGUGAGACAGGUGCUGCAUGGCUGUCGUCAGCUCGUGUUGUGAAAUGUUGGGUUAAGUCCCGCAACGAGCGCAACCCUUAUCCUUUGUUGCCAGCGGUCCGGCCGGGAACUCAAAGGAGACUGCCAGUGAUAAACUGGAGGAAGGUGGGGAUGACGUCAAGUCAUCAUGGCCCUUACGACCAGGGCUACACACGUGCUACAAUGGCGCAUACAAAGAGAAGCGACCUCGCGAGAGCAAGCGGACCUCAUAAAGUGCGUCGUAGUCCGGAUUGGAGUCUGCAACUCGACUCCAUGAAGUCGGAAUCGCUAGUAAUCGUGGAUCAGAAUGCCACGGUGAAUACGUUCCCGGGCCUUGUACACACCGCCCGUCACACCAUGGGAGUGGGUUGCAAAAGAAGUAGGUAGCUUAACCUUCGGGAGGGCGCUUACCACUUUGUGAUUCAUGACUGGGGUGAAGUCGUAACAAGGUAACCGUAGGGGAACCUGCGGUUGGAUCACCUCCUUA
This 1542-nucleotide ribosomal RNA is filed under the name Escherichia coli. Its description in RNAcentral is "16S ribosomal RNA". It matches the Rfam family "Bacterial small subunit ribosomal RNA". RNAcentral also lists the same sequence under 1 other name. Lineage: Bacteria; Pseudomonadati; Pseudomonadota; Gammaproteobacteria; Enterobacterales; Enterobacteriaceae. The record is from RNAcentral.